RNAcentral lists this ribosomal RNA (462 nucleotides) under uncultured bacterium. RNAcentral's name for it is "partial 16S ribosomal RNA". It matches the Rfam family "Bacterial small subunit ribosomal RNA", at positions 28 to 507 of the family's 1533-position model. The record is from RNAcentral.
GACGAACGCUGGCGGCGUGCUUAACACAUGCAAGUCGAGCGGUAAGGCCUUUCGGGGUACACGAGUGGCGAACGGGUGAGUAACACGUGGGUGAUCUGCCCUGCACUUCGGGAUAAGCCCGGGAAACUGGGUCUAAUACCGGAUAGGACUGCGCGGUGCAUGCCGUGUGGUGGAAAGAUUUAUCGGUGCAGGAUGGGCCCGCGGCCUAUCAGCUUGUUGGUGGGGUAAUGGCCUACCAAGGCGACGACGGGUAGCCGGCCUGAGAGGGCGACCGGCCACACUGGGACUGAGACACGGCCCAGACUCCUACGGGAGGCAGCAGUGGGGAAUAUUGCACAAUGGGCGCAAGCCUGAUGCAGCGACGCCGCGUGAGGGAUGACGGCCUUCGGGUUGUAAACCUCUUUCAGCAGGGACGAAGCGUGAGUGACGGUACCUGCAGAAGAAGCACCGGCCAACUACGUG